CCAGACUUGGAACACUCAGGAACGCAGACAGACGUAGGAAUUGCUUAAAAACAAGAAGUUCUCCCACCCUUGUUGGAGCGAACGCGCGAGUCUAACAUUGAACCUUUUGGGAAAGAGCCAGCAUUGUAACCGUGCUCGAUGACUUCUCUGGCUUUAUAGGGAACAGAUGUGAUGAUAGCAAGGGGCACACAUGUGAAAUGCCUGGCAGGUACCCCUUCGUGGCUCUACUUACUUCUUGCCAUUCCUCUGCCCUCCAAGUGUAGAGGGGACACCGUGGGCCUUGGCAGUCGCGUUCCGACUCCGGUCUGGUGUACGGGUUGCACUCGGUCUCUCUGGCUAUUUUAUGUGUUCCGAUCUGACAGCCCACAUGCCUCUGCUGUACGCCUCGGCCACAGGACACAGAGCACUAAGAAGACAGAGGACAUUCACGGUCUGGUGAGACAAGUUUGAGACCUCGUAUUUUCAGCUCAUCCUUGAAAACCUUGCUUGGAUUUGACUGACCUUGAUGGCUCCCUGGAAUCUCACCUACAUUUUAUGGAAAAUUCAAAUCUCCAGAGAGAAGAGCUUUCAGAGAGCUACAGGGCUUGCAACUAUGACUUUCAACUUUCACUUUUGAAUGAGGCUCCAAAUGUCUCAAUGGUGGCACUAUUUCCAGAUUUGGGAGCCCUGCAAAGCUAAUCUGCUCAACCUUCACCUACUGGGUUCAAUGAAUAUGAAAAGCUGCCUUCCUGAAACUUUUCCUUCAAAGAGGGAAUGAUCUCUUGGAAUUCAAGCUUCUACAAGGUGGCUACCUGGUGUUUUCCACUUUUGCCUUCUCCUAAAAAGCAUCAAUCAAGCCUUGCCCUUUCAACCCACUGAACACAUAAACAUGCUUUCUCCUUAACUGAACUUAUGGCCACGAUGAACUUGAACUCUGAGAUGCACAAGAGGAGAGUUUGUUUUAACAGCUGCUUUUACAAUGAAGCCCUGGAGUUACUACGCUCAAGACCCCUGGUUCUGAUAGGCCGUCUUUUCACUGUCCUCUGCAUUUUCAAAUGCCCAGCUGUCAGGGAACACCCACUGAAGUUUUCCAAAACAAAGGCAUGAAACACAAGAAAGGCAAGAGAAUGCUAAUCACUGGAUACAUGAGCAUCUUAUGGGGGGACCCCUUACAUAUGGAAUAGGGUUUUCUCCCCAAUUUAUUUUUAUAAAUUUAUUGAUUUCUUUGCUAGUUUAUUAUUAAUUGUUAGAGAUGUCCUGUUGCCUGAGGUUGCCCUGUCCAAUAUGGUAGCCACCAGCAACAGGUAGCUAUUUAGAGUAAUUAAAAUUAUAUUAAAAAUACAGUUUCCUUGUCACUUAACCAUGUUUCAAGUGCUCAGUAUUUAACCACAUGUGGCUAGUGGCUUCCAUAAAGGAAGGCAAAAAUAGAGAACAUUUACGUCGCGGCAGAAAGCUACUAGAUUCUUUUGGCCAAGGCAUAAACUCUUUCUCAUAGGAGAAAGGGGAUGCAGAUCUUGCUAAGAGUGAUGGAUUUCUGGGUUCAGCCUACAUGAGUCAUCUUCCAUACCACCCCUGGACAUGCUUUCCUUGGCUGCCAAUUUUCUAUUUUAUAAAUUUCAGGGAAGAGAGGUUAUGAUCAUUAAAAACAUUCAUGACAAUGAUCCCACUUUAGAGAAAACAACAGCAACAAGCAAAGAAGAUGGUGUGGAGAUCCACACAUUCUACAUCUUUUAAUUGGUGCCCAUUAAAUAACAAAGGGAAAAAGUACCCUCAGACCACAACUCUCCACCUUGUUUGGAGGCCAAGAACCCAGUAGGGAGAAGGCUGAAGGUUGGGUUCUCCACUCAUCCUGGCUCUUAGACCACGGAACUCACAUUUGGGUUCUAAUGGAAUGGUGACUGGAAGCAUAUUCUCUGAUAGGAGGUUUUUAAAAGUUCCAUGCCAUCAGCCAGGCAGCGUCUGUCACUUAAAAUGACUGGCCAGUUGCACAUUUAAAAGCAAAGAUAAAAUUGCUAAUUUAUACUUACUGAAUAAAUGUUAUCAGUAUCCAGGAAGGUACCUACCCUAAUAACAAGUUGUAGUUUUAUUUUCAUGGUGGUGGUGAAGCUGCCAGGAAAACCAAAGUAUCAGUUCUUUAAUUACAUGUGUUUAGUAUUCACUUAAUACUAAAAUUUCUCUUGCUCCCUUAGAACGAAGAGCUCUAACUUGUUCACUGCUGUACCCUUAGCACCUAGAACAGUCCCUGGCCUACAGUAGGCACUUAGAAAGUAUUUGUUGAAAGUUGAAUGACUGUUGUAUUUUAUUUUAUUUUUUUAAAGAAACGACUCAGAGUUUUUUUUAUCCUCCCCCAACCCCCAACCCCUGGUAUUAAAAUAAAUCUUCUUCAACUGCUAUCACUAAUCGCCAGGAUUCCCUCCUAGCCAAUUAUGCUUGGACUCAACCUCUACCUCCCACUCCACAUUCCAAAGUUUCUAUUUCUUUCCAUUCCAGAAGGGCAACUCCACAACAGGAGUGAGGGAGAGGACCUGGACUCCUCCUCAGAGUCCAAUAACCCUCCUAACCCUGCUCCCCCCACCCAUGGACUUUUUAGAUCCAUGAAAAUAGAAUCUGUCAAGCUACCAUGAAAUAGCAUCAGAGGGCAGGAUCAGCCUUUCAUAGGCAUAUAAUAUCUGUAAAUACUGAACAAAGAUUAUUAAAAGCCUAAGUUUUGUGUCCAGUGAAAUAGAUGCAGGCAAGUAUUCUGAUUGUUCUGAACACAUUAGAGAUGAGUGCUACACAGAACGAAGGUAAACUUUGUAAAUUCAUAUGUCAUAACACUUUGUUCCACAAAAAACUAUCUUAUUUUUUAUACUCCAUACUGAUACAGCCAAAUAAUGUGGCUCUUGUUUUUUAAAGAUGCUAGCAAUAUGUUUAAACAUGUCUUCACUGUAGUAAAAAUAUCAUAUUUUAUAAAAAAUACAUAUGCAUUUAAUGGGAUAUUCCUUAUAGUCAAAAUCUUGAUGUCAUCCUCCUAAUCUGGCUAAAAAUGCAUCCGUAAAAUGAAAGAAAGGAAUAUUUUGCCAUUCCCUAAACAACAGUUGUUUGAAGCUUUUGUAAUUGCUGGUUACGGGAAUUUACCAAUAACAGGAAUGAAUUUGGAUUUUCUUUUGCCGGAAUCAAAUGGACAAUGUCACAAUUAGCUAAAUAAUGUUGAGGCUAAAUGAAGUUUGAGUUUUAGGCAUAUCCUUUACAGAAUAUAAACAGGAGUCUAAAAGUUCAUUCUGAACACAGGCUGUUUCUUUCUGCCAAAACAAGAUUAAUAGUCAGUACCCUACCAACGAGAUCCUAUCACUGAAGUAGAUUAUCUGCUAGUCAAAUGGGUUCCUAACAGCACCUCCCUCAUAGAUUAAAACCAGGUUAAUGUGAUGUGUAUUUGCUUACUUUAGCUUGUUACACAGUAAACACACAGCAAACGUUAGCUAUUGUUAUCUUCGUUUCCUUUGGAGAAGUUUUCUUAUUUCUCACCUUAUUAAAAAUAAAGUCUAACUCAUAUAGGGACCCUCCUUACCUUGGUCCUUUCACCCAUGAAUACCAUAAUAACCUACACUGCAAAAAGGAGGCUCAGGAGGAGGAUGAGGUAUCAAUAGGCCUCUGGGUCAUUUCUAUGAUUUAGAUUUUUUUGAAAAGGGUAGGCUCUCUUGAAAUUUCCGAGGUCGUUGCUGUAGUAUUUUAUUUUCCUUUAAUAAGAAAUGCUUUCUGAAAUGUAUUGCAGUGAACAAAUAACAAAAUUGACAAAUGCCGUAAGCCUUUUACAGUUAUCUGAACACACAGAAUAAAGUGUAAUCAAAUUUAUGCACAUUAGGUUUGUUUUGUCCUGUACCUAGCUGUCUCUUAUGUGUUCAGAACCAUUUCUUCCAAUCACCUUUUUUUGUCUUCUGGCUAUAUUUUAUCAUUAUCUACAAAUUUAAUAAACGGAGCAUGCA
Molecule: long non-coding RNA, 3941 nt
Organism: Piliocolobus tephrosceles (Ugandan red Colobus)
Lineage: Eukaryota; Metazoa; Chordata; Mammalia; Primates; Cercopithecidae
Exons: 3
Source: RefSeq, a predicted model, not a curated record